CGCACAAUACAACCAUCUCCUCCCCCUUCUCUUGUAAGUAUCGUUGCCUAUCCAGAAGAAUGGUGGAAGACAUAGUGGAGUGGGAGCAUCCUAACACAAAGGAUGUCCUUCGUCCCCAUGUAGAUUUUGAACGAUAUUGAAUUACAGGUAAAUGGUGAAGGAAGGCAAGCCUUUUAUUCAACAGGGAUUGAACAGAGGGCGUGUUGCCUCUUUCGGAUUCGCUGCCAUCAAAUAUUGAUCCAGAGUUCUUCAUUUUACUGAUACCUUUGUUCGUUGACAAGUGUUGCAGUGCUAGUAAUUUGCAAGCAAGCAGGAUUGAUAAUACGAAGAAACUCACUAGUUUUUCUAUUUCUCUCUUGUAUUCGAGGUGUGUUGUCCUCCUAAUUUCUCAUCCAUGCUAAUUUUGUGUUUAGUAAUACGGUCCAACUUGUUUUUAAAAAUGCUUUUUAAACUACUUUUUAUAUGAAAAAACAUCACAUUGAUA
This is a long non-coding RNA of Populus euphratica (Euphrates poplar), 484 nucleotides long. RefSeq lists it as uncharacterized. The record is from RefSeq and is a predicted model, not a curated record. The transcript has 2 exons. Lineage: Eukaryota; Viridiplantae; Streptophyta; Magnoliopsida; Malpighiales; Salicaceae.